This is a non-coding RNA of Fukomys damarensis (Damara mole-rat), 79 nucleotides long. The record is from Rfam. Lineage: Eukaryota; Metazoa; Chordata; Mammalia; Rodentia; Bathyergidae.
GCUGAUGCUGGCGGUGAUGCCAAAGGUGCAAGCUGGAAGUGGGUGCUACGUCAUCGUCGUCACCGCCAUCAUCGUCGUC